Molecule: transfer RNA, 72 nt
Organism: Camelus ferus (Wild Bactrian camel)
Lineage: Eukaryota; Metazoa; Chordata; Mammalia; Artiodactyla; Camelidae
Rfam family: tRNA
About the family: Transfer RNA (tRNA) molecules are approximately 80 nucleotides in length. Their secondary structure includes four short double-helical elements and three loops (D, anti-codon, and T loops).
Source: Rfam
GAAGGUAUAGCUCAGUGGUAGAGCACGUGCUUAGCAUGCACGAGAUCUUGGGUUCAAUCCCUAGUUCCUCCA